Molecule: ribosomal RNA, 253 nt
Filed under: uncultured bacterium
Lineage: Bacteria
Description: partial 16S ribosomal RNA
Rfam family: Bacterial small subunit ribosomal RNA
Source: RNAcentral
UACGAAGGGUGCAAACGUUGCUCGGAAUUAUUGGGCGUAAAGCGCACGUAGGCGGCUUUGCAAGUCGGAUGUGAAAUCCCUCGGCUUAACCAAGGAAGUGCAUCCGAAACUGCAGAGCUUGAGUACUUAAGAGGAUCGCGGAAUUCCCGGUGUAGAGGUGAAAUUCGUAGAUAUCAGGAAGAACACCCGUGGCUAAGGCGGUUCUCUAGUACGGUACUGACGCUGAGACGCGAAAGCGUGGGGAGCGAACAGG